This 702-nucleotide ribosomal RNA is filed under the name Triticum aestivum (bread wheat). RNAcentral's name for it is "partial small subunit ribosomal RNA". Lineage: Eukaryota; Viridiplantae; Streptophyta; Magnoliopsida; Poales; Poaceae. The record is from RNAcentral.
AUGAGAGGUGCCCGGAGUGAAUGCUGCCGUCGUGUCACACCGAUCGCCCCGAAGUCAAAUCGACGCGCCAUGUCACGGUGCCGCACGCGCACCUGCAUAUAUCGCGAGGCUUGGCUAGCUCUCGCCGUUGCCGCACGCACGCGCAGAGCGACGAGGCGACACGUACGGUGCGCGCGUGAACAGCCGAGAAGGGAAGAGAAGAGCGGCGAGGCCAUGGCGGGCGUGUGCGCGCUGCUGCUCGUCGCCGUGCUCCCUCCCGUGGUGGUGCUGCUUGUCUCCGUGGCCGGCCGGGCGGCGGCGCGCGGGGUGGGCGCGCUGGCGCGCGCGCACUACGCGUGGCCGGCGGGGUCGCCGUCCGUGCACGCGCGGAAGUGCGGCAGGAGGGCCGCGCCGGAGCAGCCGGAGCACGAGCUGCGCGUGUCGCGGCACCGCGGGGGCGCGGCGGUGGAGUGCGCGGUCUGCCUGAGCGGCGUGGCGGAGGGCGACGAGGUGCGGGAGCUGCGGUGCCGGCACGUGUUCCACCGCGCCUGCCUCGACCGGUGGCUCGCGACGCCGCCGGCCACGUGCCCGCUCUGCCGCUCCCGCCUGCUGACGGCGCCGCCGGUAGAGGCCGAGGAGGAGGAGGAGCUGGACCUGGACUCGGACCUGCUGCUGCUCAUGGCGUACGUGCACGGCGGCGGCGGAUGGUUCUGGUCGCCGUGA